AUUGAACGCUGGCGGCAUGCUUUACACAUGCAAGUCGAACGGCGGCGCGGGCUUCGGCCUGGCGGCGAGUGGCGAACGGGUGAGUAAUACAUCGGAACGUGCCCAGUAGUGGGGGAUAGCUCGGCGAAAGCCGGAUUAAUACCGCAUACGACCCGAGGGUGAAAGCGGGGGAUCUUCGGACCUCGCGCUAUUGGAGCGGCCGAUGGCAGAUUAGCUAGUUGGUGGGGUAAAGGCCUACCAAGGCGACGAUCUGUAGCUGGUCUGAGAGGACGACCAGCCACACUGGGACUGAGACGCGGCCCAGACUCCUACGGGAGGCAGCAGUGGGGAAUUUUGGACAAUGGGCGAAAGCCUGAUCCAGCAAUGCCGCGUGUGUGAUGAAGGCCUUCGGGUUGUAAAGCACUUUUGGCGGGAACGAAAAGGACUGUGCCAAUACCACGGUUCGAUGACGGUACCCGCAGAAUAAGCACCGGCUAACUACGUG
RNAcentral lists this ribosomal RNA (484 nucleotides) under uncultured bacterium. Its description in RNAcentral is "partial 16S ribosomal RNA". It matches the Rfam family "Bacterial small subunit ribosomal RNA", at positions 29 to 507 of the family's 1533-position model. The record is from RNAcentral.